GUAGGCGGAAUUCCCGGUGUAGCGGUGGAAUGCGUAGAUAUCGGGAGGAACACCAGUGGCGAAGGCGGCCUACUGGGCACUAACUGACGCUGAGGCUCGAAAGCAUGGGUAGCAAACAGGAUUAGAUACCCUGGUAGUCCAUGCCGUAAACGUUGGGCACUAGGUGUGGGGACCAUUCCACGGUUUCCGCGCCGCAGCUAACGCAUUAAGUGCCCCGCCUGGGGAGUACGGCCGCAAGGCUAAAACUCAAAGGAAUUGACGGGGGCCCGCACAAGCGGCGGAGCAUGCGGAUUAAUUCGAUGCAACGCGAAGAACCUUACCAAGGCUUGACAUGUUCUCGAUCGCCGUAGAGAUACGGUUUCCCCUUUGGG
This 371-nucleotide ribosomal RNA is filed under the name uncultured bacterium. RNAcentral's name for it is "bacterial SSU rRNA". It matches the Rfam family "Bacterial small subunit ribosomal RNA", at positions 657 to 1024 of the family's 1533-position model. The record is from RNAcentral.